GAUGAACGCUGGCGGCGUGCCUAACACAUGCAAGUCGAGCGAACGGACGAGAAGCUUGCUUCUCUGAUGUUAGCGGCGGACGGGUGAGUAACACGUGGAUAACCUACCUAUAAGACUGGGAUAACUUCGGGAAACCGGAGCUAAUACCGGAUGAUAUUUUGAACCGCAUGGUUCAAAAGUGAAAGACGGUCUUGCUGUCACUUAUAGAUGGAUCCGCGCUGCAUUAGCUAGUUGGUAAGGUAACGGCUUACCAAGGCAACGAUGCAUAGCCGACCUGAGAGGGUGAUCGGCCACACUGGAACUGAGACACGGUCCAGACUCCUACGGGAGGCAGCAGUAGGAAAUCUUCCGAAAUGGGCGAAAGCCUGACGGAGCAACGCCGCGUGAGUGAUGAAGGUCUUCGGAUCUUAAAACUCUGUUAUUAGGGAAGAACAUAUGUGUAAGUAACUGUGCACAUCUUGACGGUACCUAAUCAGAAAGCCACGGCUAACUACGUG
This 497-nucleotide ribosomal RNA is filed under the name uncultured bacterium. RNAcentral's name for it is "partial 16S ribosomal RNA". It matches the Rfam family "Bacterial small subunit ribosomal RNA", at positions 28 to 507 of the family's 1533-position model. The record is from RNAcentral.